Unclassified non-coding RNA from Pongo abelii (Sumatran orangutan), 289 nucleotides. It matches the Rfam family "Metazoan signal recognition particle RNA". From Rfam's summary of the family: The signal recognition particle (SRP) is a universally conserved ribonucleoprotein. It is involved in the co-translational targeting of proteins to membranes. Lineage: Eukaryota; Metazoa; Chordata; Mammalia; Primates; Hominidae. The record is from Ensembl.
GCCAGGUGUGGUGGUGCGAGCAUGUAGUCUCAGCUACUCAGGAGGCUGAGGCGGGAGGAUCGCUUGAGCCCAGGAGUUCUGGACUGUAGUGCGCUACGCUGAUUGGGUCUCCACGCUAAGUUCAGCAUCAAUACGGUGACCUCCCAGGAGCAGGGGAUUACCAGGUUGCCUAAGAAGGGGUGAGCCAGCCCAGGUCAGCCAAAACUCCUGUGCUGAUCAGUAGUGGGAUCUGUGCCUGUGAAAAGCCACUGCACACUGGCCUGGGAAACAUAGCAAGAUCCUGUCUCUA